AACGAACGCUGGCGGCAUGCCUAACAAAUGCAAGUCGAACGAGACCUUCGGGUCUAGUGGCGCACGGGUGCGUAACGCGUGGGAACCUGCCCUUAGGUUCGGAAUAACUCCCCGAAAGGGGUGCUAAUACCGGAUAAUGUCUUCGGACCAAAGAUUUAUCGCCUUUGGAUGGGCCCGCGUUGGAUUAGCUAGUUGGUAGGGUAAAAGCCUACCAAGGCGACGAUCCAUAGCUGGUCUGAGAGGAUGAUCAGCCACACUGGGACUGAGACACGGCCCAGACUCCUACGGGAGGCAGCAGUGGGGAAUAUUGGACAAUGGGCGAAAGCCUGAUCCAGCAAUGCCGCGUGAGUGAUGAAGGCCCUAGGGUUGUAAAGCUCUUUUACCCGGGAUGAUAAUGACAGUACCGGGAGAAUAAGCUCCGGCUAACUCCGUG
RNAcentral lists this ribosomal RNA (433 nucleotides) under uncultured bacterium. RNAcentral's name for it is "partial 16S ribosomal RNA". It matches the Rfam family "Bacterial small subunit ribosomal RNA", at positions 29 to 507 of the family's 1533-position model. The record is from RNAcentral.